This 468-nucleotide ribosomal RNA is filed under the name uncultured bacterium. Its description in RNAcentral is "partial 16S ribosomal RNA". It matches the Rfam family "Bacterial small subunit ribosomal RNA", at positions 28 to 507 of the family's 1533-position model. The record is from RNAcentral.
GAUGAACGCUGGCGGCGGGCUUAACACAUGCAAGUCGAACGGAAAGGCCCUGCUUGUGUGGGGUGCUCGAGUGGCGAACGGGGGAGGAACACGUGAGUAACCUGCUCUAGACUUUGGGAUAAGUUCAGGAAACGGGGGCUAAUACCGGAUAGGAGCUCCCGCUGCAUGGUGGGGGGUGGAAAGUUUCGGCGGGUGGGGAUGGACUCGCGGCUGAUCAGCUUGUUGGUGGGGGAGUGGCUUACCAAGGCUUUGACGGGUAGCCGGCCUGAGAGGGUGACCGGCCACAUUGGGACUGCGGUACGGACCAGACUCCUACGGGAGGCAGCAGUGGGGAAUAUUGCACAAUGGGCGGAAGCCUGAUGCAGCAACGCCGCGUGCGGGAUGACGGCCUUCGGGUUGUAAACCGCUUUCGCCUGUGACGAAGCGUGAGUGACGGUAAUGGGUAAAGAAGCACCGGCUAACUACGUG